AACGAACGCUGGCGGCAUGCCUAACACAUGCAAGUCGAACGAGACCUUCGGGUCUAGUGGCGCACGGGUGCGUAACGCGUGGGAAUCUGCCCUUGGGUUCGGAAUAACUUCGGGAAACUGAAGCUAAUACCGGAUGAUGACGUAAGUCCAAAGAUUUAUCGCCCAAGGAUGAGCCCGCGUAGGAUUAGCUAGUUGGUGAGGUAAAGGCUCACCAAGGCGACGAUCCUUAGCUGGUCUGAGAGGAUGAUCAGCCACACUGGGACUGAGACACGGCCCAGACUCCUACGGGAGGCGGCAGUGGGGAAUAUUGGACAAUGGGCGAAAGCCUGAUCCAGCAAUGCCGCGUGAGUGAUGAAGGCCUUAGGGUUGUAAAGCUCUUUUACCCGGGAUGGUAAUGACAGUACCGGGAGAAUAAGCUCCGGCUAACUCCGUGCCAGCAGCCGCGGUAAUGUGACU
RNAcentral lists this ribosomal RNA (456 nucleotides) under uncultured bacterium. RNAcentral's name for it is "bacterial SSU rRNA". It matches the Rfam family "Bacterial small subunit ribosomal RNA", at positions 29 to 530 of the family's 1533-position model. The record is from RNAcentral.